This 1000-nucleotide ribosomal RNA is filed under the name Corollospora ramulosa. Its description in RNAcentral is "SSU rRNA". It matches the Rfam family "Eukaryotic small subunit ribosomal RNA", at positions 91 to 1101 of the family's 1831-position model. Lineage: Eukaryota; Fungi; Ascomycota; Sordariomycetes; Microascales; Halosphaeriaceae. The record is from RNAcentral.
GAAUGGUUCAUUAUAUAAGUUAUCGUUUAUUUGAUAGCACACUUGUACUNGGAUAACCGUGGUAAUUCUAGAGCUAAUACAUGCACGAAAUCCCGACUUCGGAAGGGAUGUAUUUAUUAGAUUAAAAACCAAUGCCCUCUGGGNCUUGCUGGUGAUUCAUGAUAACUUCGCGAAUCGCAUGGCCUUGCGCCGGCGAUGGUUCAUUCAAAUCUCUUCCCUAUCAACUUUCGAUGCGAAGGUCUUGUCUUCGCAUGGUUACAACGGGUAACGGAGGGUUAGGGCUCGACCCCGGAGAAGGAGNCUGAGAGACGGCUACUACAUCCAAGGAAGGCAGGAGGCGCGCAAAUUACCCAAUCCCGACACGGGGAGGUAGUGACAAUAAAUACUGAUACAGGGCUCUUUUGGGUCUUGUAAUUGGAAUGAGUACAAUUUAAAUCCCUUAACGAGGAACAAUUGGAGGGCAAGUCUGGUGCCAGCAGCCGCGGUAAUUCCAGCUCCAAUAGCGUAUAUUAAAGUUGUUGUGGUUAAAAAGCUCGUAGUUGAACCUUGGGCCUGGCUGGCCGGUCCCCCUCACCGGGUGCACUGAUCCAGCCGGGCCUUUCCCUCUACGGAACCCCAUGGCCUUCACUGGCCGNGGGGGGGAAGUAGGACUUUUACUUUGAAAAAAUUAGAGUGCUCCAGGCAGGCCUAUGCUCGAAUACAUUAGCAUGGAAUAAUGGAAUAGGACGCGUGGUUCUAUUUNGUUGGUUUCUAGGACCGCCGUAAUGAUUAAUAGGGACAGNCGGGGGCAUCAGUAUUCAAUUGUCAGAGGUGAAAUUCUUGGAUCUAUUGAAGACUAACUACUGCGAAAGCAUUUGCCAAGGAUGUUUUCAUUGAUAAGGAACGAAAGUUAGGGGAUCGAAGACGAUCAGAUACCGGCGUAGUCUUAACUAUAAACUAUGCCGACUAGGGAUCGGACGAUGUUAUUACUUGACUCGCCCGGCACCUUUCGAGAAAUCAA